This 326-nucleotide ribosomal RNA is filed under the name uncultured eukaryote. Its description in RNAcentral is "partial 18S ribosomal RNA". It matches the Rfam family "Eukaryotic small subunit ribosomal RNA", at positions 1470 to 1796 of the family's 1831-position model. The record is from RNAcentral.
CCCUUAGAUGUUCUGGGCCGCACGCGCGCUACACUGAUGCAUUCAACGAGCCUAUCCUUGACCGACAGGUCCGGGUAAUCUUUGAAUCUGCAUCGUGACGGGGAUAGAUUAUUGCAAUUAUUAAUCUUCAACGAGGAAUGCCUAGUAGGCGCAAGUCAUCAGCUUGCGUCGAUUACGUCCCUGCCCUUUGUACACACCGCCCGUCGCACCUACCGAUUGAAUGGUCCGGUGAAAUCUUAGGACUGCGACUUUGUCUCGUUCAUUCAAGACGCUGUCGCGGGAAUUUGAUUAAACCUUACCAUUUAGAGGAAGGUGAAGUCGUAACA